UACAGAGGGGGCAAGCGUUAUUCGGAAUUAUUGGGCGUAAAGGGCUCGUAGGCGGCCAACUAAGUCGGACGUGAAAUCCCUCGGCUCAACCGGGGAACUGCGUCCGAUACUGGAUGGCUUGGGUUCGGGAGAGGGAUGCGGAAUUCCCGGUGUAGCGGUGAAAUGCGCGGAUAUCGGGAGGAACACCCGUAGCGAAGGCGGCACUCUGGGCCGGAACUGACGCUGAGGAGCGAAAGCGUGGGGAGCAAACAGG
This 253-nucleotide ribosomal RNA is filed under the name uncultured bacterium. RNAcentral's name for it is "partial 16S ribosomal RNA". It matches the Rfam family "Bacterial small subunit ribosomal RNA", at positions 524 to 776 of the family's 1533-position model. The record is from RNAcentral.